Molecule: ribosomal RNA, 2905 nt
Filed under: Enterobacter cloacae
Lineage: Bacteria; Pseudomonadati; Pseudomonadota; Gammaproteobacteria; Enterobacterales; Enterobacteriaceae
Description: 23S ribosomal RNA
Rfam family: Bacterial large subunit ribosomal RNA
Source: RNAcentral
GGUUAAGCGACUAAGCGUACACGGUGGAUGCCCUGGCAGUCAGAGGCGAUGAAGGACGUGCUAAUCUGCGAAAAGCGACGGCGAGGUGAUAUGAACCUUUGACCCGUCGAUGUCCGAAUGGGGAAACCCAGUGCAAUCCGUUGCACUAUCGUUAACUGAAUACAUAGGUUAACGAGGCGAACCGGGGGAACUGAAACAUCUAAGUACCCCGAGGAAAAGAAAUCAACCGAGAUUCCCCCAGUAGCGGCGAGCGAACGGGGAGCAGCCCGGAGUCUGAAUCAGCUUGUGUGUUAGUGGAACGGUCUGGAAAGUCCGACGGUACAGGGUGAUAGUCCCGUACACGAAAACACACUUGUUGUGAACUCGAAGAGUAGGGCGGGACACGUGGUAUCCUGUCUGAAUAUGGGGGGACCAUCCUCCAAGGCUAAAUACUCCUGACUGACCGAUAGUGAACCAGUACCGUGAGGGAAAGGCGAAAAGAACCCCGGCGAGGGGAGUGAAAAAGAACCUGAAACCGUGUACGUACAAGCAGUGGGAGCCUCUUUAUGGGGUGACUGCGUACCUUUUGUAUAAUGGGUCAGCGACUUAUAUUCUGUAGCAAGGUUAACCGUAUAGGGGAGCCGAAGGGAAACCGAGUCUUAACUGGGCGUUAAGUUGCAGGGUAUAGACCCGAAACCCGGUGAUCUAGCCAUGGGCAGGUUGAAGGUUGGGUAACACUAACUGGAGGACCGAACCGACUAAUGUUGAAAAAUUAGCGGAUGACCUGUGGCUGGGGGUGAAAGGCCAAUCAAACCGGGAGAUAGCUGGUUCUCCCCGAAAGCUAUUUAGGUAGCGCCUCGUGAAUUCAUCUUCGGGGGUAGAGCACUGUUUCGGCUAGGGGGCCAUCCCGGCUUACCAACCCGAUGCAAACUACGAAUACCGAAGAAUGUUAUCACGGGAGACACACGGCGGGUGCUAACGUCCGUCGUGAAGAGGGAAACAACCCAGACCGCCAGCUAAGGUCCCAAAGUCAUGGUUAAGUGGGAAACGAUGUGGGAAGGCACAGACAGCCAGGAUGUUGGCUUAGAAGCAGCCAUCAUUUAAAGAAAGCGUAAUAGCUCACUGGUCGAGUCGGCCUGCGCGGAAGAUGUAACGGGGCUAAACCAUGCACCGAAGCUGCGGCAGCGACGCUUAUGCGUUGUUGGGUAGGGGAGCGUUCUGUAAGCCGUUGAAGGUGGCCUGUGAGGGUUGCUGGAGGUAUCAGAAGUGCGAAUGCUGACAUAAGUAACGAUAAAGCGGGUGAAAAGCCCGCUCGCCGGAAGACCAAGGGUUCCUGUCCAACGUUAAUCGGGGCAGGGUGAGUCGACCCCUAAGGCGAGGCCGAAAGGCGUAGUCGAUGGGAAACAGGUUAAUAUUCCUGUACUUGGUGUUACUGCGAAGGGGGGACGGAGAAGGCUAUGUCAGCCGGGCGACGGUUGUCCCGGUUUAAGCAUGUAGGCGGAGGUUCCAGGUAAAUCCGGUACCUUUUAACGCUGAGGUGUGAUGACGAGGCACUACGGUGCUGAAGUGAUAAAUGCCCUGCUUCCAGGAAAAGCCUCUAAGCAUCAGGUAACACGAAAUCGUACCCCAAACCGACACAGGUGGUCAGGUAGAGAAUACCAAGGCGCUUGAGAGAACUCGGGUGAAGGAACUAGGCAAAAUGGUGCCGUAACUUCGGGAGAAGGCACGCUGAUAUGUAGGUGAAGUCCCUGCGGACGGAGCUGAAAUCAGUCGAAGAUACCAGCUGGCUGCAACUGUUUAUUAAAAACACAGCACUGUGCAAACACGAAAGUGGACGUAUACGGUGUGACGCCUGCCCGGUGCCGGAAGGUUAAUUGAUGGGGUUAGCGGCAACGCGAAGCUCUUGAUCGAAGCCCCGGUAAACGGCGGCCGUAACUAUAACGGUCCUAAGGUAGCGAAAUUCCUUGUCGGGUAAGUUCCGACCUGCACGAAUGGCGUAAUGAUGGCCAGGCUGUCUCCACCCGAGACUCAGUGAAAUUGAACUCGCUGUGAAGAUGCAGUGUACCCGCGGCAAGACGGAAAGACCCCGUGAACCUUUACUAUAGCUUGACACUGAACACUGGUCCUUGAUGUGUAGGAUAGGUGGGAGGCUUUGAAGCGUGGACGCCAGUCUGCGUGGAGCCAACCUUGAAAUACCACCCUUUAAUGGCUGGUGUUCUAACGUAGACCCGUAAUCCGGGUUGCGGACAGUGUCUGGUGGGUAGUUUGACUGGGGCGGUCUCCUCCCAAAGAGUAACGGAGGAGCACGAAGGUUGGCUAAUCCUGGUCGGACAUCAGGAGGUUAGUGCAAUGGCAUAAGCCAGCUUGACUGCGAGCGUGACGGCGCGAGCAGGUGCGAAAGCAGGUCAUAGUGAUCCGGUGGUUCUGAAUGGAAGGGCCAUCGCUCAACGGAUAAAAGGUACUCCGGGGAUAACAGGCUGAUACCGCCCAAGAGUUCAUAUCGACGGCGGUGUUUGGCACCUCGAUGUCGGCUCAUCACAUCCUGGGGCUGAAGUAGGUCCCAAGGGUAUGGCUGUUCGCCAUUUAAAGUGGUACGCGAGCUGGGUUUAGAACGUCGUGAGACAGUUCGGUCCCUAUCUGCCGUGGGCGCUGGAGAAUUGAGGGGGGCUGCUCCUAGUACGAGAGGACCGGAGUGGACGCAUCACUGGUGUUCGGGUUGUCAUGCCAAUGGCACUGCCCGGUAGCUAAAUGCGGAAGAGAUAAGUGCUGAAAGCAUCUAAGCACGAAACUUGCCCCGAGAUGAGUUCUCCCUGAGACUUUAAGUCUCCUGAAGGAACGUUGAAGACGACGACGUUGAUAGGUCGGGUGUGUAAGCGCAGCGAUGCGUUGAGCUAACCGAUACUAAUGAACCGUGAGGCUUAACCUU